CUUGACUUUAGAAAGUCAAGAAGAAGUAAAGUUUGGGUUCAUACCUCAGUGUAACAGACCUUAAGUUAUUAUUUGGCCUGCUCUAAAGAGUUAAGCGCUGCAACGUUAUCACGUAGGUUCUCAUAUCGAAUGGUGAAUCCGACUGGAAAAUGUUUGCUAAUCUAGAAUACACGAGCAUCAUAUUCCAAUCCCCCGUGAGAGUUCAGGGAACUGGGAAGACGACUACCCCUCUCAACUCGACCGAUUCAUGAAGACCAAGCUCUAAGAAGCGACGAUCACCUAAUAGCUUGCACUGUCCUCCCGAUAUUCAUGUAACUCCUUACGAAAAUCAUAACUGUAAACUGCGCCCGAUACAUAAGCGGCCAUUUACAGAAGUAUUAGCGGUUCUGAGUGACUGUUCCCAUAAUAUAAUCAUAGGUAUAGCUUGGAGCUAUGAAGGGAAAAGGUUGUCCAUACUAACGCUAUACACGUCUCGCCUGGGAAAGCUGCUACGAACAUAAGCUAGCUAUCGAUAUAACGGCGUAAAGGCUAUUUCAACCGAGGCUGGACCACUUAAAAUGACAAAUAUUGCGGUAUUUUGGGAGGAUGGUAACCGACACCUCUAUUCUAUUUAUUCUUUAUACCUGUGCAUGUGUAAACAAACGAAUAACAAAAUAAUGUUAAAAAGGAGGAAAUUAUUAAUCAGGUAGCGUAGGGUAUCCCUGAAUAAUACUAUAAACAGCCUAUUCUAUCAAAUGUUUGAGUGUGGAUGAGGUAAAAGAAUUUACUUACAAAAUUUACUACAGGAGAACAUACUAACAUUGAGAAAUAUUUUGAGCAAGUAUUUUAUCAUUUAUGAACAAGUAUUAUGUAAAUAUGUAAGUUUAACGAACCUUAUCAGUGGUGUAUAUGAGCGCUAAUUUUAUUUCUGCAAAAAACACUGAGCUAUGAUUUUUAGCAUUCGGCAGGUAUCUUACUGGGGAAUAUGCGUUUUGAUUCGGUAAAAUUUAAUUCUUUAAACCUUAUCCAAGUUACUGAAGGAGAAAUACUUGAAAAGCACCUAUAGAAUAGUGAGUAUAAAUUCUGUAAUUGGUUAAUGGUUUUUUGCUAUUAUCGGGCUUGCUAUUUUAAAUGCAUAAGAAUUUUAAUAUAAUAAAUGACCUAGCACUAUUCCCAGUCUAUUAUACUUAUUUCAACAAAAAAUACAACAGCCAAUUCCUUUAACGACAUUGAGAUAUUUAAUAGAUUUUGCUUUAAAAAUAAGUAUAUUCUCUGGGAAAGGUCACAGGCGCUAGUUCAGGGUGCAUAACCGAAAUUACUAGCUGCCACCGCUCUUUUAAUUUGUUAGGAAUAACUUCACAGAAAAUUCACUAAUAUCUUUGUAUAUAGUUAUAAUCAUUAACAUAUAAUUAAUAUAAUAAAAAAAAACUUCAUUAAUAUCUUCACAAAUAGCUUUACAUACAUCGUCGUAAGUAAAGGCUAUAAUGGAUAUUCGCGCUCGUAAUGCUCGAUGCGCAUACUACCAAUACAGGUGCCUUAAAAAAUAUAUGUAAAGAUCUUCUUAAUAUCAAUCCUUUUUUAACUGAACUCAAAACGUAUGAUUAGCUGCAAUAUGUUUAAUUAGAACAUUUGAUGUACAUAAAAACUGUGUACGAUGAUCACAAAACAGGUUUUUUUUUAAUUGGAUUAUACCGAGCAUGUUAGAUGGUACAUAAGCAAUUAUGAAAACCAUUUAAUCUUUGCUGCUAGGCAUUAACGGAAGAUUAUGUAUGUAUAUAUAUGUAUAGAACAAUGCUAUUAACGAAUCUUUUAAUAGGUACAUUGAAACAAUGUAAAAAUAAACUUACCAGACA
Molecule: long non-coding RNA, 1832 nt
Organism: Varroa destructor (honeybee mite)
Lineage: Eukaryota; Metazoa; Arthropoda; Arachnida; Mesostigmata; Varroidae
Source: RefSeq, a predicted model, not a curated record